This 346-nucleotide ribosomal RNA is filed under the name Tamgrinia laticeps. RNAcentral describes it as "SSU rRNA". It matches the Rfam family "Eukaryotic small subunit ribosomal RNA", at positions 594 to 945 of the family's 1831-position model. The record is from RNAcentral. Lineage: Eukaryota; Metazoa; Arthropoda; Arachnida; Araneae; Agelenidae.
AUAGCGUAUAUUAAAGUUGUUGCGGUUAAAAAGCUCGUAGUUGGAUCUCAGUUCCAGACGGGUGGUCCGCCUACCGGUGGUUACUGCCUGUUCUGAACAGCCAGCCGGUUUCUCUUGAUGAUCUUCACCGGUUGUCUUGGGUGACCGGCAAGUUUACUUUGAAAAAAUUAGAGUGCUCAAAGCAGGCGUGACGCCUGAAUAAUGGUGCAUGGAAUAAUGGAAUAGGACCUCGGUUCUAUUUUGUUGGUUUUCGGAACACGAGGUAAUGAUUAAGAGGGACAGACGGGGGCAUUCGUAUUGCGACGCUAGAGGUGAAAUCCUUGGAUUUAUUGAAGACUAACUACUG